CUACGGGUGGCUGCAGUGGGGAAUAUUGCACAAUGGGCGCAAGCCUGAUGCAGCCAUGCCGCGUGUAUGAAGAAGGCCUUCGGGUUGUAAAGUACUUUCAGCGGGGAGGAAGGGAGUAAAGUUAAUACCUUUGCUCAUUGACGUUACCCGCAGAAGAAGCACCGGCUAACUCCGUGCCAGCAGCCGCGGUAAUACGGAGGGUGCAAGCGUUAAUCGGAAUUACUGGGCGUAAAGCGCACGCAGGCGGUUUGUUAAGUCAGAUGUGAAAUCCCCGGGCUCAACCUGGGAACUGCAUCUGAUACUGGCAAGCUUGAGUCUCGUAGAGGGGGGUAGAAUUCCAGGUGUAGCGGUGAAAUGCGUAGAGAUCUGGAGGAAUGCCGGUGGCGAAGGCGGCCCCCUGGACGAAGACUGACGCUCAGGUGCGAAAGCGUGGGGCAAACAGGAUUAGAUACCCUCGUAGUC
RNAcentral lists this ribosomal RNA (462 nucleotides) under uncultured bacterium. Its description in RNAcentral is "partial 16S ribosomal RNA". It matches the Rfam family "Bacterial small subunit ribosomal RNA", at positions 339 to 795 of the family's 1533-position model. The record is from RNAcentral.